UGCCUCGUUAGCUCAGUUGGUAGAGCAUAUCACUCUUAAUGAUGGGGUCGUAGGUUCGAACCCUACACGGGGCACCAC
RNAcentral lists this transfer RNA (78 nucleotides) under Campylobacter rectus RM3267. RNAcentral describes it as "tRNA-Lys". It matches the Rfam family "tRNA". Rfam says of the family: Transfer RNA (tRNA) molecules are approximately 80 nucleotides in length. Their secondary structure includes four short double-helical elements and three loops (D, anti-codon, and T loops). Further hydrogen bonds mediate the characteristic L-shaped molecular structure. tRNAs have two regions of fundamental functional importance: the anti-codon, which is responsible for specific mRNA codon recognition, and the 3' end, to which the tRNAs corresponding amino acid is attached (by aminoacyl-tRNA synthetases). tRNAs cope with the degeneracy of the genetic code in two manners: having more than one tRNA (with a specific anti-codon) for a particular amino acid; and 'wobble' base-pairing, i.e. permitting non-standard base-pairing at the 3rd anti-codon position. The record is from RNAcentral. Lineage: Bacteria; Pseudomonadati; Campylobacterota; Epsilonproteobacteria; Campylobacterales; Campylobacteraceae.